Oncorhynchus tshawytscha (Chinook salmon) is the source of this 2132-nucleotide long non-coding RNA. Lineage: Eukaryota; Metazoa; Chordata; Actinopteri; Salmoniformes; Salmonidae. The record is from Ensembl.
AUGGUAGCUGGUUGUGUAGUGGGGCUAGAUGGUAGAUGGUUGUGUAGUGGGGCUAGAUGGUAGAUGGUUGUGUAGUGUGGCUAGGUGGUAGAUGGUUGUGUAGUGUGGCUAGAUGGUAGAUGGUUGUGUAGUGGGGCUAGAUGGUAGAUGGUUGUGUAGUGGGGCUAGAUGGUAGAUGGUUGUGUAGUGGGGCUAGAUGGUAGAUGGUUGUGUAGUGGGGCUAGAUGGUAGAUGGUUGUGUAGUGGGGCUAGAUGGUAGAUGGUAGAUGGUUGUGUAGUGGGGUUUGAUGGUAGAUGGUUGUGUAGUGGUGCUAGAUGGUAGAUGGUUGUGUAGUGGGGCUAGAUGGUAGAUGGUUGUGUAGUGGGGCUAGAUGGUAGAUGGUAGAUGGUUGUGUAGUGGGGCUAGAUGGUAGAUGGUAGAUGGUUGUGUAGUGGGGUUAGAUGGUAGAUGGUUGUGUAGUGGGGCUAGAUGGUAGAUGGUUGUGUAGUGUGGCUAGGUGGUAGAUGGUUGUGUAGUGUGGCUAGAUGGUAGAUGUUUGUGUAGUGGGGCUAGAUGGUAGAUGGUUGUGUAGUGGGGCUAGAUGGUAGAUGGUUGUGUAGUGGGGCUAGAUGGUAGAUGGUUGUGUAGUGGGGCUAGAUGGUAGAUGGUUGUGUAGUGGGGCUAGAUGGUAGCUGGUCGUGUAGUGGGGCUAGAUGGUAGAUGGUUGUGUAGUGGGGCUAGAUGGUAGCUGGUUGUGUAGUGGGGCUAGAUGGUAGCUGGUUGUGUAGUGGGGAUAGAUGGUAGCUGGUUGUGUAGUGUGGCUAGAUGGUAGAUGUUUGUGUAGUGGGGCUAGAUGGGGGCUAGAUGGCAGCUGGUUGUGUAGUGGAGCUAGGUGGUAGAUGGUUGUGUAGUGGGGCUAGAUGGUAGAUGGUUGUGUAGUGGGGCUAGAUGGUAGCUGGUCGUGUAGUGGGGCUAGAUGGUAGAUGGUUGUGUAGUUGGGCUAGAUGGUAGCUGGUUGUGUAGUGGGGCUAGAUGGUAGAUGGUUGUGUAGUGGGGCUAGAUGGUAGAUGGUAGCUGGUUGUGUACUGGGGCUAGAUGGUAGCUGGUUGUGUAGUGGGGCUAGAUGGUAGAUGGUUGUGUAGUGGGGCUAGAUGGUAGCUGGUCGUGUAGUGGGGCUAGAUGGUAGAUGGUUGUGUAGUGGGGAUAGAUGGUAGCUGGUUGUGUAGUGGGGCUAGAUGGCAGCUGGUUGUGUAGUGGGGAUAGAUGGUAGCUGGUUGUAUAGUGUGGCUAGAUGGUAGAUGUUUGUGUAGUGGGGCUAGAUGGGGGCUAGAUGGCAGCUGGUUGUGUAGUGGGGCUAGGUGGUAGAUGGUUGUGUAGUGGGGUUACAUGGUAGCUGGUUGUGUAGUGGGGCUAGAUGGGGGCUAGAUGGUAGCUGGUUGUGUAGUGGGGCUAGAUGGUAGAUGGUUGUGUAGUGGGGCUAGAUGGUAGAUGGUUGUGUAGUGUGGCUAGGUGGUAGAUGGUUGUGUAGUGUGGCUAGAUGGUAGAUGGUUGUGUAGUGGGGCUAGAUGGUAGAUGGUAGAUGGUUGUGUAGUGGGGCUAGAUGGUAGAUGGUAGAUGGUUGUGUAGUGGGGCUAGAUGGUAGAUGGUUGUGUAGUGGGGCUAGAUGGUAGAUGGUAGAUGGUUGUGUAGUGGGGCUAGAUGGUAGCUGGUUGUGUAGUGGGGCUAGAUGGUAGAUGGUAGAUGGUUGUGUAGUGGUGCUAGAUGGUAGAUGGUUGUGUAGUGUGGCUAGAUGGUAGAUGGUUGUGUAGUGGGGCUAGAUGGUAGAUGGUUGUGUAGUGGGGCUAGAUGGUAGAUGGUAGAUGUUUGUGUAGUGGGGCUAGAUGGUAGAUGGUUGUGUAGUGGGGCUAGAUGGUAGAUGGUUGUGUAAUGUGGCUAGAUGGUAGCUGGUUGUGUAGUGGGGCUAGAUGGUAGAUGGUUGUGUAGUGGGGCUAGAUGGUAGAUGGUAGAUGGUUGUGUAGUGGGGCUAGAUGGUAGAUGGUAGAUGGUUGUGUAGUGGUGCUAGAUGGUAGAUGGUUGUGUAGUGUGGCUAGAUGGUAGAUGGUUGUGUAGUGGGGCUAGAUGGUAGAUGGUUGUGUAGUGGGGCUAGAUGGUA